AUACUUUCCUGGCAGGGUUCAUUCCAUGAUCAUAAAUUUGGUUUCCCCAGGGCAAGGCUUAUCCAUUGCACUAUGGUUGGGAAAACUUGACUGCAUAAAUUGUGGUAAAGGUAGACAGCAUUCAUGUUCUCUCCUA
RNAcentral lists this small nuclear RNA (136 nucleotides) under Monodelphis domestica (gray short-tailed opossum). RNAcentral describes it as "U1 spliceosomal RNA (ENSMODG00000021630.1)". It matches the Rfam family "U1 spliceosomal RNA". From Rfam's summary of the family: U1 is a small nuclear RNA (snRNA) component of the spliceosome (involved in pre-mRNA splicing). Its 5' end forms complementary base pairs with the 5' splice junction, thus defining the 5' donor site of an intron. There are significant differences in sequence and secondary structure between metazoan and yeast U1 snRNAs, the latter being much longer (568 nucleotides as compared to 164 nucleotides in human). Lineage: Eukaryota; Metazoa; Chordata; Mammalia; Didelphimorphia; Didelphidae. The record is from RNAcentral.